This 497-nucleotide ribosomal RNA is filed under the name uncultured bacterium. RNAcentral describes it as "partial 16S ribosomal RNA". It matches the Rfam family "Bacterial small subunit ribosomal RNA", at positions 28 to 507 of the family's 1533-position model. The record is from RNAcentral.
GAUGAACGCUGGCGGCGUGCCUAAUACAUGCAAGUCGAGCGAACAGACGAGGAGCUUGCUCCUUUGACGUUAGCGGCGGACGGGUGAGUAACACGUAGGUAACCUACCUAUAAGACUGGGAUAACUUCGGGAAACCGGAGCUAAUACCGGAUAAUAUUUCGAACCGCAUGGUUCUAUAGUGAAAGAUGGCUUUGCUAUCACUUAUAGAUGGACCUGCGCCGUAUUAGCUAGUUGGUAAGGUAACGGCUUACCAAGGCAACGAUACGUAGCCGACCUGAGAGGGUGAUCGGCCACACUGGAACUGAGACACGGUCCAGACUCCUACGGGAGGCAGCAGUAGGGAAUCUUCCGCAAUGGGCGAAAGCCUGACGGAGCAACGCCGUGUGAGUGAUGAAGGUCUUCGGAUCGUAAAACUCUGUUAGUAGGGAAGAACAAAAGUGUAAGUAACUGUGCACGUCUUGACGGUACCUAAUCAGAAAGCCACGGCUAACUACGUG